CAAAUUGAGAGUUUGAUCCUGGCUCAGGACGAACGCUGGCGGCGUGCCUAAUACAUGCAAGUCGAGCGAGCUGAAUUCAAAGAUUCCUUCGGGAUGAUUUGUUGGACGCUAGCGGCGGAUGGGUGAGUAACACGUGGGCAAUCUGCCCUAAAGACUGGGAUACCACUUGGAAACAGGUGCUAAUACCGGAUAACAACAUGAAUCGCAUGAUUCAAGUUUGAAAGGCGGCGUAAGCUGUCACUUUAGGAUGAGCCCGCGGCGCAUUAGCUAGUUGGUGGGGUAAAGGCCUACCAAGGCAAUGAUGCGUAGCCGAGUUGAGAGACUGAUCGGCCACAUUGGGACUGAGACACGGCCCAAACUCCUACGGGAGGCAGCAGUAGGGAAUCUUCCACAAUGGACGCAAGUCUGAUGGAGCAACGCCGCGUGAGUGAAGAAGGUUUUCGGAUCGUAAAGCUCUGUUGUUGGUGAAGAAGGAUAGAGGCAGUAACUGGUCUUUAUUUGACGGUAAUCAACCAGAAAGUCACGGCUAACUACGUGCCAGCAGCCGCGGUAAUACGUAGGUGGCAAGCGUUGUCCGGAUUUAUUGGGCGUAAAGCGAGCGCAGGCGGAAUGAUAAGUCUGAUGUGAAAGCCCACGGCUCAACCGUGGAACUGCAUCGGAAACUGUCAUUCUUGAGUGCAGAAGAGGAGAGUGGAAUUCCAUGUGUAGCGGUGGAAUGCGUAGAUAUAUGGAAGAACACCAGUGGCGAAGGCGGCUCUCUGGUCUGCAACUGACGCUGAGGCUCGAAAGCAUGGGUAGCGAACAGGAUUAGAUACCCUGGUAGUCCAUGCCGUAAACGAUGAGCGCUAGGUGUUGGGGACUUUCCGGUU
Molecule: ribosomal RNA, 869 nt
Filed under: Lactobacillus delbrueckii subsp. bulgaricus
Lineage: Bacteria; Bacillati; Bacillota; Bacilli; Lactobacillales; Lactobacillaceae
Description: bacterial SSU rRNA
Rfam family: Bacterial small subunit ribosomal RNA
Source: RNAcentral